This is a long non-coding RNA of Pristis pectinata (smalltooth sawfish), 304 nucleotides long. RefSeq lists it as uncharacterized. The record is from RefSeq and is a predicted model, not a curated record. Lineage: Eukaryota; Metazoa; Chordata; Chondrichthyes; Rhinopristiformes; Pristidae. The transcript is spliced from 3 exons.
AUUGAUUUGAGAAUAUGAUAUAUUGACUUUAAGUGUACUUUUGCUUAGGACAUCAAAUUACUUUUGAGAAAUGGUACGAGGAUUGCUCUAGGAGAAAGGAGAUGUCUGGUGAAAUUUGACAAAGAUAAUACAUGAUUGAUCUGCGUGUUGGAGAAUGGAGCAGAUGAAGCGCCUCAACAGCUGGAAUUUGAGAUGCACCAUAGAAAGCAUCCUAUCUGGAUGUAUCACGGCUUGGUACGGCAACUGCUCUGCCCAGGAUACAGGAGCCUGAAGGCACGUACCACCAGAUUUAAGGACAGCUUCU